AACGCACAUUGCGCCCCCUGGUAUUCCGGGGGGCAUGCCUGUCCGAGCGUCAUUGCUGCCCAUCAAGCACGGCUUGUGUGUUGGGUCCUCGUCCCCCCCCUUGGGGGGACGUGCCCGAAAGGCAGCGGCGGCACCGCGUCCGGUCCUCGAGCGUAUGGGGCUUUGUCACCCGCUCUGCAGGCCCGGCCGGCGCUGGCCGACGCGAAAGCAACCAUUUUUUUUUCUCCAGGUUGACCUCGGAUCAGGUAGGGAUACCCGCUGAACUUAA
RNAcentral lists this unclassified non-coding RNA (268 nucleotides) under uncultured Eurotiales. RNAcentral's name for it is "sequence contains 5.8S rRNA gene, ITS2, 28S rRNA gene". The stretch from base 1 to 52 matches the Rfam family "5.8S ribosomal RNA", at positions 103 to 154 of the family's 154-position model. The record is from RNAcentral. Lineage: Eukaryota; Fungi; Ascomycota; Eurotiomycetes; Eurotiales.